RNAcentral lists this ribosomal RNA (400 nucleotides) under uncultured bacterium. RNAcentral's name for it is "bacterial SSU rRNA". It matches the Rfam family "Bacterial small subunit ribosomal RNA", at positions 355 to 752 of the family's 1533-position model. The record is from RNAcentral.
UAGGGAAUAUUGGUCAAUGGACGCAAGUCUGAACCAGCCACGCCGCGUGGAGGAAGAAGGUUCUCUGGAUCGUAAACUCCUUUUAUAUGGGAAUAAAUAUGGGCUAUACGCCUAAGUUGAAUGUACCAUAGGAAUAAGCCACGGCUAACUACGUGCCAGCAGCCGCGGUAAUACGUAGGUGGCGAGCGUUGUCCGGAUUUAUUGGGUUUAAAGGGUGCGUAGGCGGUUUGAUCAGUCAGUCGUUAAAGGCAGCAGCUUAACUGUUGUAAGGCGAUUGAUACUGUCGAACUUGAAUUCGUUUGAGGUACUUGGAAUGCGUAGUGUAGCGGUGAAAUGCAUAGAUAUUACGCGGAACGCCAAUUGCGGAGGCAGAGUACUAGGACGAGAUUGACGCUGAGGC